This 311-nucleotide ribosomal RNA is filed under the name Paenibacillus sp. Expt2_481B2_P24WS_G09. RNAcentral's name for it is "bacterial SSU rRNA". It matches the Rfam family "Bacterial small subunit ribosomal RNA", at positions 1054 to 1363 of the family's 1533-position model. Lineage: Bacteria; Bacillati; Bacillota; Bacilli; Caryophanales; Paenibacillaceae. The record is from RNAcentral.
GUCAGCUCGUGUCGUGAGAUGUUGGGUUAAGUCCCGCAACGAGCGCAACCCUUGACUUUAGUUGCCAGCAGGUAAAGCUGGGCACUCUAGAGUGACUGCCGGUGACAAACCGGAGGAAGGUGGGGAUGACGUCAAAUCAUCAUGCCCCUUAUGACCUGGGCUACACACGUACUACAAUGGCCGGUACAACGGGAAGCGAAGCCGCGAGGUGGAGCCAAUCCCAGCAAAGCCGGUCUCAGUUCGGAUUGCAGGCUGCAACUCGCCUGCAUGAAGUCGGAAUUGCUAGUAAUCGCGGAUCAGCAUGCCGCGGU